This 777-nucleotide ribosomal RNA is filed under the name uncultured Neocallimastigales. Its description in RNAcentral is "partial large subunit ribosomal RNA". It matches the Rfam family "Eukaryotic large subunit ribosomal RNA", at positions 23 to 644 of the family's 3401-position model. The record is from RNAcentral. Lineage: Eukaryota; Fungi; Neocallimastigomycota; Neocallimastigomycetes; Neocallimastigales.
AGAGAGAGACAUGCGCGCAUAUCAAUAAGCGGAGGAAAAGAAACUAACAAGGAUUCCCUUAGUAACGGCGAGUGAAGCGGGAAGAGCUCAAAUUUGAAAUCUUCAAGGUUCUACCUUGACGAAUUGUAGUUUAUAGAAGUGUUUUCUGUUAGUGGAGUGGCAAAAGUUCUUUGGAAUAGGACAUCAUAGAGGGUGAGAAUCCCGUAUUUGGUCAUUCCUCCUAGCGUUGUGAUACACUUUCAACGAGUCGGAUUGUCUGGGAAUGCAGUCCAAAAUGGGUGGUAAAUUUCAUCCUAAAGCUAAAUAUUGGCGAGAGACCGAUAGCGAACAAGUACCGUGAGGGAAAGAUGAAAAGAACUUUGAAAAGAGAGUUAAACAGUACGUGAAAUUGUCAAAAGGGAAGCGUUUGACACCAGUGUUGUUUUUCCGAAAAUCAAUUACGAAUGUUUUAUUUUUGAGGAGUUAUGACUUCAUCGGCUUGCUUCCUUUCUUUACGAAACCUUCUUAAUGCACUUUUCGGUUAACAAGUCAACAUCAAUUUCUUUUGUUGUAAAAGGGUAUGAGGAAGGUGGCUUUCUUUUCGGAGAAAGUGUUUAUAGCCUUGUACCUCUGCAAUCGGAGAGAUUGAGGUCUGCAGCGUAGAUCCUUCGGGGUUAGAUACAGUUUGUGCUAAGUUAUAGCUUUUCAUAGACAACUUGUUGACUAUGUUUAGUCUUGUAGCUUACUCGCUUAUGCUAUUUUACCUACGCUUAGGAUGUUGAUAGUCACAGCGUGUAC